This 1635-nucleotide long non-coding RNA is filed under the name Equus caballus (horse). RNAcentral's name for it is "lncRNA (ENSECAG00000047631.1)". The record is from RNAcentral. Lineage: Eukaryota; Metazoa; Chordata; Mammalia; Perissodactyla; Equidae.
GCGUGUUAUUUUGAUACGUUUAUGCAUUAUAUAUUGUAAUAUGAUUACCAAUGUAGCGAGAUUUAUCACAUUACAUAAUUAUAGUACAAUGUUAUUGUCUAUAUUAACUAUAUAGUGCCUUAGAUCUCUUUAAAAUGGUUCAAAAAUGGUUUAAAUGGUAAAUUUUCUGUUGUAUAUAUUUUACGACAAUAAUUUUUUUUUAACAGUGAGAAUCAAUAAGCCAGUGAGCUAGAAAGAAUAGGAGGUUGCGGCCAGAUGUUGGCGUUUGGUUUUAUUAUUUUGGAGCUGGUACAGUUUCAGAUCAUUAAAGUCUAGAGUGUGGCCAUGGGAAUGGGUGGCUGAGGGGGCACAGAAGAAAAUGUUACCGAGGGAAAGAUCCAGGAGCUAAGGCUACAUGGUUAACAUCCACGCCAGGGAGGAGAGGAGAGGGAUGCGGAGGAAGAUGGACGGCCCUGGAGGACAGGCAUGACCGUGGAGGGGGAGGGGAGCCAGCCUCCUCGCAGCGGGGGCGGGAGUGUAGCGUCUGCUGGAGCUAACUGCAAACCUGGGUACACGCUGUAGGGGAACGAGCAGCCUCCACUGACAGGGGCUCAAGGGCUCUGCCGGGUGAGGAGGUGAAGCCGGGCAGGGGAGAGGCUGCUCCGGCCACCCAUCCCGCCGGGAUAUCGCAGAAGACCCCGGCCACCCCGUCAGCGGAAGGAGUCCACAUUCGUUUUGGGAUUGAGUUCCUUGUCCUCAGUUCUGCCAGCUUUCAACGUCACGCACUCUACACUGGAACAAGAAUUUGUGCCAAAGAUCUGUUUCAUGACUGCUCACGAGCACAUUUCACAGCAAACGAUCAAGAAUGCAAACGUAAGAAAUCUCGGCAGAGCUACCACCCAUUUGAGAUCACAUACAAUCUGGCCCCAGGAGCCACGCGCUGAGGACGGAGUCUCACCACGGCUCUCCUCCCUGUCCGGAAAGGAUCGGCAAGGCCACUCCUCACACCAGCAGAGAGCCGCGCCGAAGUCCGUGUAAGUCACCCCUGCACGAACGCCUCUGCCCAUCCACGGAUUGAAUCACCCAGGAGACAGCGGGCCUUGUCUCUCCCGCCAAACGCCGUUCACACAGCCUCCUGUUUACUAGUAACCGCCCCCCUGCACGUGCCAAUUCAUGGUCUUGAAUAAUUAAUCCAGCACGUAUGAAUAAUUAAGGCUCAGUUGAGAGCUAUAACUGAGAAAUCUUACAGUCAUUUGGCUUUUUCAUGCAGUGUGGUGGAAGGAACCAAGAAUUCUUGGACAAAGAUAUCAUGACAAGAGUAGAGAAUGUUCAUCCAGGUAGCCAGUCCUUCUGGAGCUGGUAGUUCAUCCCGCUGUGUGGGGCUUCUGGCUUCCUGUUGCUGCAAAAUUUUCUAAGUUCCAUAACCUUCACUCUUUGUAAGGGGAGCAAAAUUCACCAGGCUUAACAAGAAGGUGGGUACUCACAGUCCUUGGAAAGAAGAGAGAACCACGUGUCAGUGCUGUGCAAGUUUCAGUUUCCUUUCACUCAUCCCUCCUGAACAAUUUUGGGAAGAAGCUGGUAAACAGAAGUAUGCCCAAUGGCUCAGGGUCAAGCUCCUUCCUGCUCAGGGGCUUUCCUCAUGCUGUUCCCUCCACG